GAUGAACGCUGGCGGCGUGCCUAAUACAUGCAAGUCGAGCGAACGGACGAGAAGCUUGCUUCUCUGAUGUUAGCGGCGGACGGGUGAGUAACACGUGUAUAACCUACCUAUAAGACUGGGAUAACUUCGGGAAACCGGAGCUAAUACCGGAUAAUAUUUUGAACCGCAUGGUUCAAAAGUGAAAGACGGUCUUGCUGUCACUUAUAGAUGGAUCCGCGCUGCAUUAGCUAGUUGUUAAGGUAACGGCUUACCAAGGCGACGAUGCAUAGCCGACCUGAGAGGCUGAUCGGCCACACUGGAACUGAGACACGGUCCAGACUCCUACGGGAGGCAGCAGUAGGGAAUCUUCCGCAAUGGGCGAAAGCCUGACGGAGCAACGCCGCGUGAGUGAUGAAGGUCUUCGGAUCGUAAAACUCUGUUAUUAGGGAAGAACAUAUGUGUAGGUAACUGUGCACAUCUUGACGGUAACUAAUCAGAAAGCAACGGCUAACUACGUG
Molecule: ribosomal RNA, 497 nt
Filed under: uncultured bacterium
Lineage: Bacteria
Description: partial 16S ribosomal RNA
Rfam family: Bacterial small subunit ribosomal RNA
Source: RNAcentral